RNAcentral lists this ribosomal RNA (450 nucleotides) under uncultured bacterium. RNAcentral describes it as "partial 16S ribosomal RNA". It matches the Rfam family "Bacterial small subunit ribosomal RNA", at positions 338 to 795 of the family's 1533-position model. The record is from RNAcentral.
CCUACGGGGGGCUGCAGUAAGGAAUAUUGGUCAAUGGAGGAAACUCUGAACCAGCCAUCCCGCGUGAAGGAUGAAGGGGCUCUGCCUUGUAAACUUCUUUUGUCUGGGGCGAAAAAGCUCGAUUUAUCGAGAACUGACGGUACCAGAAGAAUAAGCACCGGCUAACUCCGUGCCAGCAGCCGCGGUAAUACGGAGGGUGCCGGAGUUAUCCGGAAUAACGGGUGCUUAGGGGUGCUUGGAAGGCUUAGGUGAAAGGCUGUGGCUUAACCAUGGAAUUGCCAUUGAUACUGCCGGGCUUGAAUGAGGUUGAGGUUGGCGGAAUGUGACAUGUAGCGGUGAAAUGCUUAGAUAUGUCAUGGAACACCGAUUGCGAAGGCAGCUGACUGGACCUAUAUUGACGCUGAGGCACGAAAGCGUGGGGAGCGAACAGGAUUAGAUACCCUUGUAGUC